Sturnus vulgaris (Common starling) is the source of this 172-nucleotide non-coding RNA. The record is from RefSeq and is a predicted model, not a curated record. Lineage: Eukaryota; Metazoa; Chordata; Aves; Passeriformes; Sturnidae.
CGAGGGCGGGGCUCUCGUGCUCAGGCUGAGGGGACAAGAGGUGACAAUGAAGGUGGAGAACUGGGAAACGCAGGAGAUGUGGCGAGGAUUCAUCCUGACCAUGACCAAGAUGAGGAUGCCCCGGGACCUGGCGCUGCUGCCCGGACACAACGUGCAGCUCCUGGAAGCUCUG